Molecule: ribosomal RNA, 554 nt
Filed under: Enterobacter hormaechei
Lineage: Bacteria; Pseudomonadati; Pseudomonadota; Gammaproteobacteria; Enterobacterales; Enterobacteriaceae
Description: bacterial SSU rRNA
Rfam family: Bacterial small subunit ribosomal RNA
Source: RNAcentral
GCUACACAUGCAGUCGACGGUAACAGGAAGCAGCUUGCUGCUUCGCUGACGAGUGGCGGACGGGUGAGUAAUGUCUGGGAAACUGCCUGAUGGAGGGGGAUAACUACUGGAAACGGUAGCUAAUACCGCAUAACGUCGCAAGACCAAAGAGGGGGACCUUCGGGCCUCUUGCCAUCGGAUGUGCCCAGAUGGGAUUAGCUAGUAGGUGGGGUAACGGCUCACCUAGGCGACGAUCCCUAGCUGGUCUGAGAGGAUGACCAGCCACACUGGAACUGAGACACGGUCCAGACUCCUACGGGAGGCAGCAGUGGGGAAUAUUGCACAAUGGGCGCAAGCCUGAUGCAGCCAUGCCGCGUGUAUGAAGAAGGCCUUCGGGUUGUAAAGUACUUUCAGCGGGGAGGAAGGUGUUGAGGUUAAUAACCUCGUCAAUUGACGUUACCCGCAGAAGAAGCACCGGCUAACUCCGUGGGGGGCGGGCGGGGGGUAAUACGGAGGGUGCAAGCGUUAAUCGGGAAUUACUGGGCGUAAAGCGCACGCAGGCGGUCUGUCAAGUC